AGGGCACCACCAGGAGUGGAGCCUGGAUGUUAAUUUGACUCAACACGGGAAAACUCACCCGGCCCGGACACUGGAAGGAUUGACAGAUUGAGAGCUCUUUCUUGAUUCAGUGGGUGGUGGUGCAUGGCCGUUCUUAGUUGGUGGAGUGAUUUGUCUGGUUAAUUCCGAUAACGAACGAGACUCUAGCCUACUAAAUAGAUCGUCGGCUUACAAACGCCGACUAGACUUCUUAAAGGGACAGGCGGGGAUUCAACCGCACGAAACAUAUCAAUAACGGGUCUGUGAUGCCCUUACAUGUCCGGGGCCGCACGCGCGCUACACUGAAGUGAUCAGCGUGCUUUUUCAACCUACUCUGGCAAGAGUGGGGAACCCAAUGAACCUUCUUCGUGAUUGGAAUAGGGAAUGGUAAUUAUUCCCCUUGAACGAGGAAUUCCCAUAAAGCGCGAAUCAUAAGAUCGCGUUGAUUACUUCCCUGCCCUUUGUACACACCGCCCGUCGCUACUACCAAUUGAAUGUCGU
Molecule: ribosomal RNA, 519 nt
Filed under: uncultured eukaryote
Lineage: Eukaryota
Description: SSU rRNA
Rfam family: Eukaryotic small subunit ribosomal RNA
Source: RNAcentral